GAUGAACGCUGGCGGCGUGCCUAAUACAUGCAAGUCGAGCGAACAGAUGAGGAGCUUGCUCCUCUGACGUUAGCGGCGGACGGGUGAGUAACACGUGGAUAACCUACCUAUAAGACUGGGAUAACUUCGGGAAACCGGAGCUAAUACCGGAUAAUAUAUUGAACCGCAUGGUUCAAUAGUGAAAGACGGUUUUGCUGUCACUUAUAGAUGGAUCCGCGCCGCAUUAGCUAGUUGGUAAGGUAACGGCUUACCAAGGCAACGAUGCGUAGCCGACCUGAGAGGGUGAUCGGCCACACGGGAGCUGAGACACGGUCCAGACUCCUACGGGAGGCAGCAGUAGGGAAUCUUCCGCAAUGGGCGAAAGCCUGACGGAGCAACGCCGCGUGAGUGAUGAAGGUCUUCGGAUCGUAAAACUCUGUUAUUAGGGAAGAACAAAUGUGUAAGUAACUAUGCACGUCUUGACGGUGCCUAAUCAGAAAGCCACGGCUAACUACGUG
RNAcentral lists this ribosomal RNA (497 nucleotides) under uncultured bacterium. RNAcentral describes it as "partial 16S ribosomal RNA". It matches the Rfam family "Bacterial small subunit ribosomal RNA", at positions 28 to 507 of the family's 1533-position model. The record is from RNAcentral.